GGUUAAGUGACUAAGCGUACACGGUGGAUGCCUAGGCAGUCAGAGGCGAUGAAGGACGUGCUAAUCUGCGAUAAGCGUCGGUGAGCUGAUAUGAAGCRUUAUUAGCCGGCGAUGUCCGAAUGGGGAAACCCAGUGCAAUCCGUUGCACUAUCGUUAAGUGAAUACAUAGCUUAACGAGGCGAACCAGGG
Molecule: ribosomal RNA, 189 nt
Filed under: Edwardsiella tarda
Lineage: Bacteria; Pseudomonadati; Pseudomonadota; Gammaproteobacteria; Enterobacterales; Hafniaceae
Description: partial 23S ribosomal RNA
Rfam family: Bacterial large subunit ribosomal RNA
Source: RNAcentral